CCGAUUUGAAGAUGUUGAGGUAUCCUCUGAUGAAGAUGGGUGACAAAUAAAACUCUUAAGCUGGCUUCACUAUAUGAAAGAAAAGAAACAAAAAGAAUAAAUGUUAUAUAUAUCUCUCCUAGACACAUCUUUUAUAUCAGUCUCUCUACUUUCUUUUUUGUUGUUUCCCCCACACAAUGAUUCUACAAUCUUUAUGAGUCAAUAUUU
Molecule: RNA transcript, 207 nt
Organism: Arabidopsis thaliana (thale cress)
Lineage: Eukaryota; Viridiplantae; Streptophyta; Magnoliopsida; Brassicales; Brassicaceae
Exons: 2
Source: RefSeq